RNAcentral lists this ribosomal RNA (279 nucleotides) under uncultured Eubacteriales bacterium. RNAcentral describes it as "uncultured Clostridiales bacterium partial 16S ribosomal RNA". It matches the Rfam family "Bacterial small subunit ribosomal RNA", at positions 61 to 339 of the family's 1533-position model. Lineage: Bacteria; Bacillati; Bacillota; Clostridia; Eubacteriales. The record is from RNAcentral.
UUUAUUGAAACUUCGGUCGAUUUAAUUUAAUUCUAGUGGCGGACGGGUGAGUAACGCGUGGGUAACCUGCCUUAUACAGGGGGAUAACAGUCAGAAAUGGCUGCUAAUACCGCAUAAGCGCACAGCAUCGCAUGAUGCAGUGUGAAAAACUCCGGUGGUAUAAGAUGGACCCGCGUUGGAUUAGCUAGUUGGUGAGGUAACGGCCCACCAAGGCGACGAUCCAUAGCCGACCUGAGAGGGUGACCGGCCACAUUGGGACUGAGACACGGCCCAAACUCC